CAGAGGUUGACGCGCAUCGGACACCUUCUGUGUCUCGCUGGCUUGCGGACAGUAGUCGAAUUAAACCAACUUGGAUCCCUGUGGAGCUGCCUCGAAGAGGGAUCCUAAUAUCACAUAUCAGUUAGAUGACCAAGUUCAGGGCCUGCACGACUGCUGCAGCACAGUGCCGGAGCUCGCAUCAGUGGAAUACUGUUGGGGAUACAACGGACCACACCCAUAUACUGAUAGACCCUCUGAUUGGAUGUCACAUGGAUGUCUUGACCACUACCAUGGCUUUCAUGCAAAUUGAUGAAGGAGCAAAUAAGCAGCUGUGAGGAGCCUGGAAGGUCCCCCAACUCUGCCCCUCACCUGUGUCACAUCUGCCUGCCA
Molecule: long non-coding RNA, 369 nt
Organism: Perca fluviatilis (European perch)
Lineage: Eukaryota; Metazoa; Chordata; Actinopteri; Perciformes; Percidae
Exons: 3
Source: RefSeq, a predicted model, not a curated record